RNAcentral lists this ribosomal RNA (460 nucleotides) under uncultured bacterium. Its description in RNAcentral is "partial 16S ribosomal RNA". It matches the Rfam family "Bacterial small subunit ribosomal RNA", at positions 338 to 795 of the family's 1533-position model. The record is from RNAcentral.
CCUACGGGAGACAGCAGUGAGGAAUAUUGGUCAAUGGACGCAAGUCUGAACCAGCCAUGCCGCGUGCAGGAAGACGGCUCUAUGAGUUGUAAACUGCUUUUGUACGAGGGUAAACGCAGAUACGCGUAUCUGUCUGAAAGUAUCGUACGAAUAAGGAUCGGCUAACUCCGUGCCCGCAGCCGCGGUAAUACGGAGGAUUCAAGCGUUAUCCGGAUUUAUUGGGUUUAAAGGGUGCGUAGGCGGUGGGGUAAGUGAGAGGUGAAAUCCCGAGGCUCAACUUCGGAAUUGCCUCUGAUACUGUUCGGCUAGAGAGUAGUUGCGGUAGGCGGAAUGUAUGGUGUAGCGGUGAAAUGCUUAGAGAUCAUACAGAACACCGAUUGCGAAGGCAGCUUACCAAGCUACUUCUGACGUUGAGGCACGAAAGCGUGGGGAGCAAACAGGAUUAGAUACCCCUGUAGUC